CAUUGAGUGGCUGAAAGUAAGCAUUGGUCUCUUAAACCAAAUUAUAGUAAAUAACGAUCUACUCUCAAUGA
RNAcentral lists this transfer RNA (71 nucleotides) under Pantala flavescens. Its description in RNAcentral is "tRNA-Lys". It matches the Rfam family "tRNA". From Rfam's summary of the family: Transfer RNA (tRNA) molecules are approximately 80 nucleotides in length. Lineage: Eukaryota; Metazoa; Arthropoda; Insecta; Odonata; Libellulidae. The record is from RNAcentral.